Molecule: ribosomal RNA, 253 nt
Filed under: uncultured bacterium
Lineage: Bacteria
Description: partial 16S ribosomal RNA
Rfam family: Bacterial small subunit ribosomal RNA
Source: RNAcentral
UACGUAGGUGGCAAGCGUUAUCCGGAUUUAUUGGGCGUAAAGGGAACGCAGGCGGUCUUUUAAGUCUGAUGUGAAAGCCUUCGGCUUAACCGGAGUAGUGCAUUGGAAACUGGGAGACUUGAGUGCAGAAGAGGAGAGUGGAACUCCAUGUGUAGCGGUGAAAUGCGUAGAUAUAUGGAAGAACACCAGUGGCGAAAGCGGCUCUCUGGUCUGUAACUGACGCUGAGGUUCGAAAGCGCGGGUAGCAAACAGG